Molecule: ribosomal RNA, 1485 nt
Filed under: uncultured rumen bacterium
Lineage: Bacteria
Description: bacterial SSU rRNA
Rfam family: Bacterial small subunit ribosomal RNA
Source: RNAcentral
AGAGUUUGAUCCUGGCUCAGGAUGAACGCUGGCGGCGUGCCUAACACAUUCAAGUCGAACGGAGAUAUACGGAAGCUUGCUUUUGUAUAUUUUAGUGGCGGACGGGUGAGUAAUGCAUGAGCAACCUGCCUUGAAGAGGGGGAUAACACAGAGAGAUUUGUGCUAAUACCGCGUAAUCUGCCGAAGCGGCAUCGCGUUGGCAGGAAAGGAGCGAUCCGCUUUAAGAUGGGCUCAUGUCUGAUUAGAUAGUUGGUAGGGUAACGGCCUACCAAGUCUGCGAUCAGUAGCCGGACUGAGAGGUUGAACGGCCACAUUGGAACUGAGAUACGGUCCAGACUCCUACGGGAGGCAGCAGUGGGGAAUAUUGGGCAAUGGGCGAAAGCCUGACCCAGCAACGCCGCGUGAAGGAAGAAGGUCUUCGGAUUGUAAACUUUUUUGACAGGGGACGAAGCAUGACGGUACCCUGAAAACAAGCCACGACUAACUACGUGCCAGCAGUCGCGGUAAUACGUAGGUGGCAAGCGUUAUCCGGAUUUACUGGGUGUAAAGGGUGAGUAGGCGGGUAAACAAGUCAGAUGUGAAAUACAAAGGCUUAACCUUUGAACUGCAUUUGAAACUGUAUAUCUUGAGAGUCGGAGAGGUAAUCGGAAUUCCCGGUGUAGCGGUGAAAUGCGUAGAGAUCGGGAGGAACACCAGUGGCGAAGGCGGAUUACUGGACGACCACUGACGCUGAGGCGCGAAAGCGUGGGGAGCGAACAGGAUUAGAUACCCUGGUAGUCCACGCGGUAAACGAUGAAUGUUAGGUGUUGCGGGUAUCGACCCCUGCAGUGCCGGAGUAAACACAAUAAACAUUCCGCCUGGGGAGUACGGUCGCAAGGUUGAAACUCAAAGGAAUUGACGGGGGCCCGCACAAGCAGCGGAGCAUGUUGUUUAAUUCGAAGCAACGCGAAGAACCUUACCAGGUCUUGACAUCCGAUUAAACUUACAGAGAUGUGAGGUCCCUUCGGGGGAAUCGAGACAGGUGGUGCAUGGUUGUCGUCAGCUCGUGUCGUGAGAUGUUGGGUUAAGUCCCGCAACGAGCGCAACCCUUAUGGUCAGUUACUAACGCGUAGCGGCGAGGACUCUGACAAGACUGCCGGGGACAACUCGGAGGAAGGUGGGGACGACGUCAAAUCAUCAUGCCCCUUAUGACCUGGGCUACAAACGUGCUACAAUGGUGACAACAAAGAGGAGCGAGACCGUAAGGUGGAGCGGAUCUCAAAAAAGUCAUCUCAGUUCGGAUUGUGGGCUGCAACCCGCCCACAUGAAGUUGGAGUUGCUAGUAAUCGCGGAUCAGCAUGCCGCGGUGAAUACGUUCCCGGGCCUUGUACACACCGCCCGUCACACCAUGGGAGUUGGGAGCACCCGAAGUCAGUAGUCCAACCGCAAGGAGGACGCUGUCGAAGGUGGGAUUGAUGACUGGGGUGAAGUCGUAACAAGGUAACC